AAUAGAGUUUUAAAAACAAUUUGGGUUGUCAGUUUUAUUAGACGUCAUUUGGAUGAUUGUUUUGCUGUUAAACGAAUUAUGCAGAAAAUGCUGCUCCGAGCCAUUGUUACCAUUUUGACUAAAAAUCACGAUCUGCAAUUGAACAAUGGUUCUCUUUAUACGACUUUCUCUACUUUCAUAUUUAUAUAAUACAAGGGUAGGAAGAAUGUACCCAUUGUUAAAAGUGUCUGUAACAUGUGCUACAAGAAACCAGGGAGGUAAUAAGAUUCAUAUGGGAAUGCAACAUAGAUUUACGGACGGACGUUGAUGUAAACAAACCAGGUCACCUGAAAAAUCUGCUAAGGUUACAUAUAGACUUAUAUUAUAGUAAAUUGAAAAUUACAUAACACUGUGCACAGUCUUAGAAUAUGAUAACAGAUAUUUGGUGGCGAAUUUUAUUACUUAUUAGAAUAUAUCUAUUUGAAAGAUACUAGAUGUAUUUAAAUAUUUAACGUACCGAAACAUGUUCUAAUUUGACAGAUUAAUGGCUAGAUAAAGCGACAUUACUUUAGUUAUAACGUUAUUAUUAUUUACUGAAAGCACUUUAUUUAAAGUUGGAUGAUGGUUCUCAUCGUCUGUUACCUUCCUAAAUAGUUUCAUUGUUUAUGUAUAUAGAUCUGUGAAUCCUGAUUUCUAUUUUGUAUUUAUUAAAUACAUGUAUGUAGCUAUAAUAGAAUUAUUUAUUUUG
Long non-coding RNA from Ruditapes philippinarum (Manila clam), 727 nucleotides. RefSeq lists it as uncharacterized. The record is from RefSeq and is a predicted model, not a curated record. Lineage: Eukaryota; Metazoa; Mollusca; Bivalvia; Venerida; Veneridae. The transcript is spliced from 2 exons.